This 398-nucleotide ribosomal RNA is filed under the name uncultured bacterium. Its description in RNAcentral is "partial 16S ribosomal RNA". It matches the Rfam family "Bacterial small subunit ribosomal RNA", at positions 523 to 918 of the family's 1533-position model. The record is from RNAcentral.
AUACGUAGGGUGCGAGCGUUGUCCGGAAUUACUGGGCGUAAAGAGCUCGUAGGUGGUUUGUCGCGGCGUCUGUGAAAUUCCGGGGCUUAACUCCGGGCGUGCAGGCGAUACGGGCAUAACUUGAGUACUGUAGGGGAGACUGGAAUUCCUGGUGUAGCGGUGAAAUGCGCAGAUAUCAGGAGGAACACCGGUGGCGCAGGCGGGUCUCUGGGCAGUAACUGACGCUGAGAAGCGAAAGCAUGGGUAGCGAACAGGAUUAGAUCCCCUGGUAGUCCAUGCCGUAAACGGUGGGCGCUAGGUGUAGGGGUCUUCCACGACUUCUGUGCCGUAGCUAACGCAUUAAGCGCCCCGCCUGGGGAGUACGGCCGCAAGGCUAAAACUCAAAGGAAUUGACGGGG